Molecule: ribosomal RNA, 735 nt
Filed under: Descolea alba
Lineage: Eukaryota; Fungi; Basidiomycota; Agaricomycetes; Agaricales; Bolbitiaceae
Description: eukaryotic LSU rRNA
Rfam family: 5.8S ribosomal RNA (bases 326-481)
Source: RNAcentral
UGUGUAUUAGAGUAAGUACAAGUCGUAACUACGUCUCCAGUAGGUGAACNUGCGAUCGGAUCAUUACAGCAUAAGCUUGAUGGGUUGUAGCUGCUCUUUCGGGAGCAUGUGCACGCCCGUCACGUUUAUCUUUCCACCUGUGCACCUUUUGUAGACUUGGGAUUAAAAUUAUCUGAAGGCCUUGAAAAAGCCCUUCAGUCUGAGGGUUUGCUGUGCCCAUCACUGGGUCAGCUUCCUUCGUGGUUCCAAGCCUACGUCUUUCAUAUACCCCAUAGCAUGUCUCAGAAUGUAUUCAAAGGCUCUGAGUGCCUAUAAAGAUUUAUACAACUUUCAGCAACGGAUCUCUUGGCUCUCGCAUCGAUGAAGCACGCAGCGUAAAUGCGAUAAGUAAUGUGAAUUGCAGAAUUCAGUGAAUCAUCGAAUCUUUGAACGCACUUUGCGCUCAUUGGUAUUCCGAGGAGCAUGCCAUGUUUGAGUGUCAUUAAAUUCUCAACAUUAUCAUCCUUGAUGGCAAGGCUUGGACUUGGGGGUUUCAUUUUGCAGGCUUCAACCUUUUUUGAAGUCGGCUCCCCUUAAAUGAAUUAGCCGGAAAACCCUUGUGGACCCGUCUAUUGGUGUGAUAAUUAUCUACGCCGCAGGAUGGGACUGCCCUUUUGUAAUGGGAUUUCUGCUUCCAACCGUCUUUUGGGACAAUCAUUUGACCAUUUGACCUCAAAUCGGUGAGACUACCGUUAC